GCGGUCAACGGUUUCGAAUGGAUGGGCCUAACAUGGUCGGCUGCACGACGAUAGCGAUGUGAUACUGUUCUCAUUGUAGAUAUUUAUUCCAGGCCGACUCACGUUUAUGUUUUUAACUGUCGGAUAAACGUGUACAAAAUAAACAAGGUACAUUUUCAAAAGGACAGCCCAGAAGAUAAGCGCUGCAUUUGCCGGUGAAGUCGCCAUCGCUGUCUGCAGCUGUCAUCAGCUGACCGGGCCUAGGUGACAGUGGACGUUGAUGUCGUCGGUUGUCGUCAUGGACCCUGCUCGAGUCUCAGAAUACGAGACUGUAGGCAAACGUUGCACUGAUCGGCUUCAUCAAGGAGGUCAAGAAAGCAUCAGUAUGGCCGAUUACCUAAUCACAGGGGGAACCGGUUACAUCCCCGACGAUGGUCUGACGGGUGCUCAACUCUUUGGCGGCGGCGAUGGAAUGACUUACAAUGAUUUCCUAAUUCUACCAGGCUUCAUAGACUUCUCGGCUAACGAUGUGGACCUGACAUCUGCGUUGACUCGUAAGAUCACCCUGAAAUCUCCCCUGGUGUCUUCACCUAUGGACACAGUCACUGAAGCCCAGAUGGCCAUUGGCCUAGCAUUGUGUGGCGGUAUUGGAAUCAUCCAUCAUAACUGUACCGCAGAGUUCCAGGCAAAUGAGGUCAGAAAGGUCAAGAAAUACGAACAAGGGUUCAUCCUGGAUCCCGUGGUCAUGUCCCCCAGUCAUACAGUUGCCGACAUCGUGCAGGCCAAGAGACAGUACGGCUUCUCCGGCAUCCCCAUCACAGAUAAGGGACACAUGGGGGAGAAGCUUGUCGGCCUCGUUACGCAGCGAGACAUCGACUUCUUUACCAGGGACCAGUACCACACUCCCAUCUCAGAGGUGAUGACGCCAUAUGAAGACCUGAUAGUGGCACCAGCAGGUGUGACGCUCAAAGAAGCCAAUGGAAUCUUACAGAAGAGCAAGAAAGGUAAACUCCCCAUCGUUAAUGAUCGGGACGAGCUGGUGGCCCUGAUUGCCAGAACAGACACAAAGAAGAACCGAGAGUUUCCUCUGGCUUCCAAGGAUGAGAAGAAGCAGUUGUUGGUUGGUGCUGCGGUCAGCACACAUGAGGAGGACAAGGACCGUAUUGACCAGCUUGUUCAGGCAGGGGUGGAUGUUGUUGUGUUGGAUUCCUCACAAGGCAACUCCAUAUUCCAGAUUAAUCUGAUCCGCUACCUGAAACAGAAGUACCAUGAUCUCCAGGUUAUUGGAGGCAACGUGGUCACAGCAGCUCAAGCGAAGAAUCUGAUAGAUGCAGGCGUGGACGGACUAAGGGUCGGCAUGGGGAGCGGCUCUAUCUGCAUCACACAGGAAGUAAUGGCAGUAGGUCGUCCCCAGGGUACUGCUGUCUACAAAGUUGCCGAGUAUGCUCGCCGAUUUGGAGUGCCAGUCGUUGCUGACGGAGGCGUUUCAUCAGUUGGACAUAUCAUCAAGGCUUUGUCACUGGGAGCAUCCACAGUCAUGAUGGGUUCAUUACUGGCCGGGACCACAGAGGCUCCCGGAGAAUAUUUCUUCGCUGAUGGUGUGCGGUUAAAAAAGUAUCGGGGUAUGGGAUCUCUGGACGCCAUGGAGACUCAUCGGAGUAGUCAGAGUCGAUAUUUCAGCGAGAGUGAUAAAAUCAAAGUAGCACAAGGUGUAUCAGGGUCCAUCGUUGACAAAGGCUCCAUCCAGAAGUUCGUUCCAUAUCUGAUAGCUGGGAUCAAACAUGGCUGCCAAGACAUUGGUGCCAAAAGUCUUUCCAUUUUGAGACAAGGGGGAUACUUUAGUUUUACAAGACACGUGGAGCCGGCAGAAGAUUUCUUUGCUGAAGUUUGGAAUUAUGAGAAGGUCGAUGAUGUAUUCAGGUGAACUAAAGUUUGAGAAGAGAACGACGUCUGCUCAGAUUGAGGGAGGAGUGCACGGCCUACACAACUAUGAGAAGAGGUUGUACUGAGCCAUAAUGCCUUCCAAACUCACGAUUAUCUUGCUCAACAUUGCCAUGCCGACAAAGGCCACAGCCAUGGUCAUCUCCAGGAUGUAGCAGGGGUAAAAGCAUUUACUAAAAGAUCACUUAAUAUGGGCCAUCUCUCAGCAUUAUUGUUGAGUUUGAACUGGAAAACAAGCCAUGCAGAUCUGUUGUUUGGGGUUUCUGGUUUCCUGACUAGUGACAAGAAAGCUACUAAUUUCCUGACAACUAGUGAAAAGAAAGUUACUAGAUUCCUGACAACUAGUGACAAGAAAGCUACUAGAUUCCUGACAGCUAGUGA
Haliotis rubra (blacklip abalone) is the source of this 2301-nucleotide RNA transcript. It is a transcript of the gene named inosine-5'-monophosphate dehydrogenase 1-like, with no coding region annotated. The record is from RefSeq and is a predicted model, not a curated record. The transcript has 17 exons. NCBI's taxonomy places the organism in Eukaryota, Metazoa, Mollusca, Gastropoda, Lepetellida, Haliotidae.